GGAGGGAGGGGUCUGGGC
RNAcentral lists this microRNA (18 nucleotides) under Mus musculus (house mouse). Its description in RNAcentral is "mmu-miR-7235-5p". The record is from miRBase by way of RNAcentral. Lineage: Eukaryota; Metazoa; Chordata; Mammalia; Rodentia; Muridae.